RNAcentral lists this ribosomal RNA (477 nucleotides) under uncultured bacterium. RNAcentral describes it as "bacterial SSU rRNA". It matches the Rfam family "Bacterial small subunit ribosomal RNA", at positions 329 to 793 of the family's 1533-position model. The record is from RNAcentral.
CUACGCACUCCUACGGGAGGCAGCAGUGGGGGAAUAUUGCACAAUGGGCGCAAGCCUGAUGCAGCCAUGCCGCGUGUGUGAAGAAGGCCUUCGGGUUGUAAAGCACUUUCAGUCGUGAGGAAGGUAGUGUAGUUAAUAGCUGCAUUAUUUGACGUUAGCGACAGAAGAAGCACCGGCUAACUCCGUGCCAGCAGCCGCGGUAAUACGGAGGGUGCGAGCGUUAAUCGGAAUUACUGGGCGUAAAGCGCAUGCAGGUGGUUUGUUAAGUCAGAUGUGAAAGCCCCGGGGCUCAAACCUCGGAAUAGCAUUUUGAAACUGGCAGACUAGAGUACUGUAGAGGGGGUAGAAUUUCAGGUGUAGCGGUGAAAUGCGUAGAGAUCUGAAGGAAUACCGGUGGCGAAGGCGGCCCCCUGGACAGAUACUGACACUCAGACUGCGAAAGCGUGGGGAGCCAAACAGGAUUAGAUACCCUGGUAG